Molecule: ribosomal RNA, 240 nt
Filed under: uncultured bacterium
Lineage: Bacteria
Description: partial 16S ribosomal RNA
Rfam family: Bacterial small subunit ribosomal RNA
Source: RNAcentral
AGAGUGGCGAACGGGUGAGUAACGCGUGGGUGAUCUACCUUGAAGUGGGGGAUAACCAGCCGAAAGGCUGGCUAAUACCGCAUAAGCCGUAGUUUUCGUUAACUACGGGAAAAGCUUCGGUUGCUUCAGGAGGAGCCCGCGUCGGAUUAGCUAGUAGGUGAGGUAAUGGCUCACCUAGGCUGCGAUCCGUAGCCGGUCUGAGAGGACGUACGGCCACACUGGGACUGAGACACGGCCCAG